RNAcentral lists this transfer RNA (74 nucleotides) under Caudoviricetes sp. RNAcentral describes it as "tRNA-Thr". It matches the Rfam family "tRNA". Rfam says of the family: Transfer RNA (tRNA) molecules are approximately 80 nucleotides in length. Their secondary structure includes four short double-helical elements and three loops (D, anti-codon, and T loops). The record is from RNAcentral. Lineage: Duplodnaviria; Heunggongvirae; Uroviricota; Caudoviricetes.
UGCGGGGUAGUGUAACGGUAACACGGCGGGUUAGUGUCCCAGCAGAUCACAAGUUCGAAUCUUGUCCCCGCUAC